AAGAUGGUAUCGCGACAUUCACAAACGUUCAAUGUAGCUAAGAUAAAAAUACAUAGGUUUAGAACGUUCCAUUUCACAGGUAUUUAAAGUGUCACUUGAGAUAUAUUUCUUAUCCAGGAUAAAUAAGUAUCGUGAUUGCGACUAUCCGAUUUGAGUUGUCUAGAUUUAAUCUCAGCCAUGAUAACUGAGAAUUCCUUUAUUUGGGUGCCACCGAUUAAUCCUAUCGUCUACUAAUUGCGUAGUGAUGUAAUACAGGAAAACACAAAGAAUCGCAGCUACCAAGAUCGUUGUCUUUGGAAGAGAGAUUGAAAGAUUAUUCGAUUAUAUUGGCUCGCACCGAGGAUUAAAGAAGAUUAGUCUCUUUUUAAUCAUUAUUGCCGCAAGGAGUUUCUCAUCAAUUCACACAAAUCAUCAAUUCGCUCGCCCCUGCUUGUGAUCGAACGUAUAAAUGCUUGAAGGGAAGAGAGAACAGAUACAUUUCUCACCCUCCUCAGAGAGAUGCUGAAGAGGCGCGUGCGGUGGUCGAUCUUGGAGUACCACGGAAGCCCUUCGAAAUCGGAGCGAGAUAUGUCAACGAAGGGGUGCGAUAUUUUUUCACGGGUGACAACGGUCUCACCAUUCACCACUUUCGGUGGCCGCGACCCUAACUGCUUUGGGUACGAUGCGAUAUUUAGGCGAAUAUGGGCCAAUAGCAAAGGAAUGCGCAGGGUCGACAAUAGAUUCUUCAGCGCCACGAUAGAUUCUUUGACGAGCAACACACGAAUGAAGGAAUCGAGCAAUAUCAACAAAUAUCAAAAAAACCCUCGUCGCUUCCCUGUUGAUGUUUUAGAUAAAAUUAAUCGGAAUUUAUGAAAAAGGCUUAAGAUACUUCUUCCUUUAAUAGAGACAAUAUCAAGUCGAUAACAUCUAAUUCUGAGGAAGAAAGGAACAGAGAAAGAUAUGGAAUUUAAUCUUAUUCGCAAAUUGCACAUAAUAUAAUAUUGAAAAUAAUGAAGCUAUAAGUUUACGAUGUUUGUACAAUUCAAGUUAAAAAAA
This 1035-nucleotide long non-coding RNA is filed under the name Pogonomyrmex barbatus (red harvester ant). RNAcentral describes it as "uncharacterized LOC105422825, transcript variant X4". Lineage: Eukaryota; Metazoa; Arthropoda; Insecta; Hymenoptera; Formicidae. The record is from RNAcentral.